UUUCAUUCACACAACAUGCUUUGUCAAAAGGCAGAACUCUUCCCUAUUGUCCCAAGCUCCUCCACAAUGAUCAGUUCACCUCCUAGUCGGCGUGCCGCUGCUAUGCCUCGCACUGCUAGUUUGCUGCCACUGAACACCAGCAACUUUAAAUGUAAGUGUCUCUUUGAAAAUCUUGCUUGGUCCUAUUUCUUCUCUUUUUGAAUUCCUGGCCGGCCUAUUUCAACUUUGUUCUAUGUUACUUUUAUUUUACUUGUAUUUUGUUGAAUGUGCUAGUUACAAGUAAAGAUGAGCAUAAAAUUCUUAGGGAAAGGAUACUCUUCUCCAAAUCAUGGAGUGAAAACAUGAGUUUAUAUGAGAUUUGCUGAAUAUGUGUAUGACAAGUAUAUGAGUUUGUCUGACGUUUCCCAAUCUUCAACCGCUAAUUGCAAUUGUUCUCAAGGAACGAUGGGAUUAUUCAACAAAGCGAUAUUGCUUCCCAAAAUUGGAUUUGUUAUUCCUGCAAACAGAACUAGAAAACUGAUAGAAAAAUAAAGUUCUAAGCCCACAAAAAUGUGUUUCCAUAAAGAAUUUAAUCCCCUCACAAUUGCCCAAGGUUUGGAUUAAUUCCUUCUAGGAUAGAAUAAAACACUAUUCUGCAAUAUUGAUAAUAGAAAUUGCAAAAAUUGCAGAACUUCAGCAAACUCAACAAACGGAGUAGAUCACACUUACUUUUGUUUCAUUGAAGAAGAAGAAUAGUGUUUUUAAC
RNAcentral lists this long non-coding RNA (745 nucleotides) under Capsicum annuum. Its description in RNAcentral is "long non-coding RNA (CANN_LNC010427)". Lineage: Eukaryota; Viridiplantae; Streptophyta; Magnoliopsida; Solanales; Solanaceae. The record is from RNAcentral.